Molecule: non-coding RNA, 1419 nt
Organism: Cricetulus griseus (Chinese hamster)
Lineage: Eukaryota; Metazoa; Chordata; Mammalia; Rodentia; Cricetidae
Source: RefSeq, a predicted model, not a curated record
AGGUGUGUGCCACCAUACACAGAUCCCGUUUGUGUUUUUGAAACAGGGUUUCUGUCACUUUGUAGCCCAGGAUGGUGUGGAACUCAUUAUGCUGUCCAGACUGACCCCCAAACUCAUGGCGAUCCUGCUGCUGAAGCCUCUGGACGCAGCUCUUCAGUGGUAUUUUACCACACGUGUGUAUCGUGGGUGGUACGAGGUUUCUUAUGGCUUGGCUGCAGCCUUUCACGGACUAAUCUGACCUCCCCCCUCACUUACAUUACCUGGAGAACGUGAAGUCUGUGACCCAUGAACUUGAGCUUUCUUUUCCUCUGUCAAGAAGGGUGAAUUCAUGCACUUAGUCAAUUGAAUCCCAACCACAACAUCUGGAGGCUCCUUGUCUAGCAAAAUCAGGGCUGUGGCCCAGCCUGGGUAUCUUGGAAUCCCUAGGGACUCAACUCAGUCGGUAACUCAAGCUUUGAGCCAAUACCAGUAGGCACACAGCUUGAAUCGGAGCAUCUCUCCCUGCACCCACCAAGGAAGACAACUCACUCCUGGCUUGGGUCGCAAAGUUCCUGGGAAGCCAGAGGUGGCUCCUAUCACAGGGAGGGCAUUGGCCCAUGACCAAUCUAUCAGGAAGAAAACAGCUUGGUUAAGGAUCUCACGGAGCCCAGGGUGGCCUCAAACUCUAGGAAGCUGAGGACAACCUUGAACUUGUGAUUAUUAUAUUUCCACCUUCCAAGUGCCAGAAUUAACAAGCGUGCACCACCAUGCUCAGUGUAUGUGGUGUUGGGGACUGAACUCAGAGCCUUGUGCAUGCCAAGUAAGUUCUUCAUCAACCAGACUACAUCCCUCGCUCACCGAGGCUUUUCCCUCACCACGCUACCAUGAUGGAAUGCAAACUAUUUUAUUUCAAGCAAAACUAACAUUUCUUUAAGUUGCUUUCGUCAGCCAUUUUAGCACAACAAUGAGGAAAUAACUAAUACAUAACCCAAAGUUACCCAAAAUGUCAGGAAAGAAAAACACAAACCAUGCUUGUGAGAAAAGUUAAUUUACAGAACGUGCUGGCUAGUUCUGUGUCAACUUGACAGCAGCUAGAGUCAUUCUGGAAGAGAGAACUUCAACUGGAAAAAUGCCUCACAAGGUCUGCCUGUGGGUAAGUCUGUGGUAUAUUUCCUUGACUGAUGACUGGUGUGGGCUCUCCCAGCUCCUCCAUGGCCUCUGCAUCAGUUCCUGUGCUGACUUCCUUCGAUGGUGGACUGUGAUGUGGGAGUCUAAGUAAGUCUAAGUCUAAGUCUAAGUCUAAGUCUAAGUCUAAGUCUAAGUCUAAUGAACCCUUUCUUCUCCAAGUGGCUUAUGGUCAUGGUGUUUCAUCACAGCAAUAGAAGCCCAAAUUAGCUAGGCAGUGGUGGCACACAUCUUUAAUGCCAGAAUUUGGGAGGC